CCGGACCCGUCCCUCCCCGCGUCACCCCGGGGACCCCGGCCCCCAGCCCCGGUGCCCGGCUUCCCUGCCCGUGCCCUUCCCGGCUGAGCUUUUCUCCUUGGCCGCAAAGCCAGGAGCAGGGUUAUUUCGUCACUAUUGCUCCACUGACCAUUUGUCCAAUACUUCUGCACACCCGGAGCGCCCCAGUAGAGACUCCGGGAAAGAGACAGUGCUGGAAGCAGAGGACGUCAGAGUCCGAGAUGAGCGGUGGGGAGGUCGGCUUGAGUCCCCUGACCCCUACUCUCAGGCUGUCCCGGAGCUUUUAAAGACUGAAAUCCAUCAUCAUUACAUUUUAAAGAAACUGGCAUCCUACACAACCCGAGUUCAAAGUUGUCAUGGGGAUACUGCAACUUACAACACAUCACAAAGGUUUAUUCUUCUCCGCCCUAAAAGCCACUAUUGACUACGGUAAUCAGUAAAAUGCUCAGGUCUUCAAGGACACUGAAGUUAAACAAGGUAUUUGUCUUUGUUGUUGACUUUAAAAUGUUACCUAUCAGAGCCCCUCUGGAUAGAGGAGUGGGGCAUUCCCUGGAAAACCCAGUCCUAUGACUGGGAACAAUAAGAAUCCUAUUAGAAGACAGUGUGAACUCCCCAGGUAGAACUAUUUAGUCAUCUGAAAACCCAAAGACAAAAUUUAAUUAAAAGUCCACUUUGGAUAAAUACAACCUAGGAAGCUUGCUUAUUUUUAGUUGAAUAAAAUCUCUCUCAUUCCCUCCCUACCUCUUUCCCAAACCCACCAGGCAGCUAUAAUCCUGUAAGUGACUAAAAAGGAAAAAAAAAUGCUGUCUUUAUAAAAGCUGUAAGAUAUAAAAGCUGGGGGCUUGCUCACCAAGUUCCCCCUUUUCAACUCACCAUUUCUCUCCUAACAUGGCUGUUUGCGGUGCCCUUGGGGAGUGAUAGAUUCAGGGGAGAAGGGCACCACCACCUGUCUUUCUGUGUGUGGUACCAAGACACAGGGACUCACAGUUCUGCAGGCGCUUAGGAGGGUGUAGGACCCAGGAAAUAAAGGAGUGUGAGGACUCUGAGCUCACCCCAAAGUAAGCUCACCCCAUCUACCCAGUCAGCGAGAGGUGCAUAGUGUGGGUUUCCAGAAGCCUCCAAAUUGUGCGGGUUGAUCAAGUUCAGCACUCAGGUUUUAGCUCUGGUGUUUAAAGUGUCUGCCUCCAAAAACGGUUUGUUUAAAAAAAAAAAAAAAUCUAAGAAACAGGAAAUCUAGCUAGGAAGCUGGCCUCAGAAUACCUGUGAGGACAAGCAAAGUUAGGGUCACUCGCUCCCCACCCUUCACCCCAAUACUGGCUUGGUCCCAGUCACUUCCUGAUUUCCUAACAGACUCUAUGCAAAAGCUGGGUGUUCCCAAAUCCCUUCCCAUUUUUUUAAACAUACUUAAAAAAAUACUUAAAAAAAUAACAAAUCUUCUGGGUCUACAGAAAAUUCCUCUAACUGUGGUGUGCCCAGAAGAUGAAAAAAUUAGGAAAAGUGUAGGCUAAAUUUAAAACAAAAAGAAACAUAUUAACUUGCCCACAACUGCCCCAUACUGCCUCUAAAAGGAUUUCUCAUACAGGACCAGUUACUGUAAACAUCAAAAGACUCUCUCAGCCAUAUGAAAUGCUGGAAGAUUGGAGGAAAGGAACCUGGAGAUCAGGCUAAGGUGUGUCAAGAAAUAGGCAGAGCUGCAGGCGCUGGCUCAAUCUGCAGAUACUACCCCUCACCCAACUCACAACACCCUUGCACAUUCCCUACGGAACUCCCCGACUGACAAAAUAAGCUUCACACCCAACCAUUACCUCCUUAGAGAUUCCCAGCCUCUCCAUCUCUCUGCUCCUGGGAGCCAAACACGGGUCCCUAUGCAGAGGUAAGGAUGAGAGCCCUGACUCUCAAGUCCCAAGCCAACAGUGCAAAUCUCAACAGGGUCCCCCGAUCCCAUUCCACACACAGGGGAAAAAUGGUCUCCAGGGCCAGCUUUGCAGCAGAAGCAAAAAGAGGGAAUUUCGCUGGGCGCGGUGGCUCACGCCUAUAAUCCCAGUACUUUGGGAGGCUGAGGCGAAUGGAUCGCCUGAAGUCAAGAGUUCAAAAACAGCCUGACCAACGUGGCAAAAACUACUAAAAAUACAAAAAUUAGCUAGGUGUGGCGGCGCGCGCCUGUAAUCCCAGCUACACGGGAGGCUGAGGCAGGAGAAUCGCUUGAACCCGGGAGACAGAGAUUACAGUGAGCCACUGCACUCCAGACUGGGCGACAGAGCAAAACUAAAAAGAGGGAAUUUUGAGACCAAGUCUUGCAGCGCUUGGAAGAAGACAGAAAGAACUCAGGCUAUCAGAGAGCUGUUCAAAUUGGUUCCCUCUCUUUCAGACCACUUGCAUUUCCAGCGUGUCUUUUGCGGACAAGGUUGGGAAUGUCCCAUUUUAUCCUAAGGAAUCCUGGCCCCUAGGACUGACUUGCUGUCCUAAAGGUAGCGUCGAGGCUCCCACGAGAAGCACAGACCUGGGAUACACAAGACACCGGGGUAGGACUGUUUGGAGUAAUGUGCCUUCCUCCACUCUGCCACCUCUGUGACUCAAGGGGCCUCCCCCACACCUCCCCUCAAACAAACUACAAUAAAAAAAGAUGUUGUUUCCUUAGAAAGAUUAUCAAACAGGUGAAAUAUAAGGUAAGAUAAGCCAGUUGAAAGCACCAAGGACGCAGAAUGUUGCAUCUGAGAAAAACAGCCUAACAGGGCUCCCACACUCCUGUGCUGGAGUAAACAAAACACUUUUCAAAACGAGGUAUUUCCAGGUAUUUUUGACAAUAGCGUUUUCACGGUUUACCCCCUAAUGGCUCCCAGAUACAGGAAAAAAUGAGUCAAAUUGGAAACUGAAAAAUUGGCGGGCUAAACUUCGAAGGGAGAAUAGGUGCCCCAGCUCCAGGAUCCCUGAGUUGCAGCCUGGCCAUGUGAGCAGCAGCCCCAGACCAAGGCCCAGCUGAUGCCAAGCCCAAGGGCCUAUCCACCAGCUCUCCUUCACCAUGAAGUCACAAGUCUGACCACUCCAGGUGCCCUCUCUUCUUUCCCUCUCUCCCUUGUGGGAGAGGAGACGCCAACUAGCUUCCCUAGGAACAUCUAGGUUCUUCUGUUGUGCUCUUCUAAAUACCCUUCUCUAGGAAAACACAAACACGCACCCUUUGGAGAGUUAAACUGGGUGAGCCUGCAUGUGCUUGUGUGUCUGUUUGGGGGUGGAUCAAGUGCCCGCCACUCUCCCAAACUUACUCCCAUCGUGGAAUUUCUUCCACUCACCCAAAGUAGGGUCUGCGAUGGGGCUCAAGCGCUGUUAGUUCCCUCCCAGCCUCGUUUUUCCCCAAUAGCAGAUGCCAUUCACUACUCAUCAAGGCCCUGAGCUUCCCCAAGGCACGAAGGUACAGAUGUGCAUUUAGUCUCAUCCGUGGAAAGGAACUUGGCACAACAGACUCAAGUCUUGGCACAACUCGCCUCAGCGCUACCGGACUCUGGGUUACCCAGCCACAGGCCUGCAAAUCCUUCCUGGGACCAGGCCGACCUCCGCGCACCCGGACGAGAAAGUCCUGAAAACAGGGCCCGAGUGGAGCAGCUGCUCCACGUCCCCCGUGCGCCCCAGCGCUUUGGACCCGCACCCCGAACCUGAGGCGCGACCCUUACCUGCACUGGGACCCCGGGGCACCGGGAGCGGGGCUCC
RNAcentral lists this long non-coding RNA (3720 nucleotides) under Homo sapiens (human). RNAcentral's name for it is "HSALNT0248692". Lineage: Eukaryota; Metazoa; Chordata; Mammalia; Primates; Hominidae. The record is from RNAcentral.